GACACGACUCUCGGCAAUGGAUAUCUCGGCUCUCGCAUCG
This 40-nucleotide ribosomal RNA is filed under the name Conchograecum cf. moandense MSD-2018. RNAcentral's name for it is "Angraecum cf. moandense MSD-2018 partial 5.8S ribosomal RNA". RNAcentral also lists the same sequence under 2 other names. Lineage: Eukaryota; Viridiplantae; Streptophyta; Magnoliopsida; Asparagales; Orchidaceae. The record is from RNAcentral.